Molecule: non-coding RNA, 160 nt
Filed under: Patescibacteria group bacterium
Lineage: Bacteria
Description: 6S RNA
Rfam family: 6S / SsrS RNA
About the family: E. coli 6S RNA was the first non coding RNA to be sequenced, but its function was unknown until recently. It consists of 184 nucleotides that fold into an extended hairpin structure with a large single-stranded internal bulge.
Source: RNAcentral
GUCACUCUGGGGUGUUCGUAAGAACACCUUAUAUACUCUCUCUUCGUAAAGUUUAUGGGAGUUUGAGAUUUGCUCCCCGUCGUGGCGGGGGCAUGAGAACACCCACUUUGGAUAUUGGGGGCAUUAGUAUCCUAAGGUUGAACGCCAUCCCGGAGACAUU